GCGUCCGGAUGGCCCUGCCCCCAGCUGCCGAGGCUCCGCCCUCGCCCGGGACGCUCCGCCGCCACUUUUCCCCCACCCCCGGUGUGGCGCGCGGGGCCACUCUGACGUCAAUGCGCGGCUCGCUUCGCAGCCCCGUUGCGUCACUGCUGACGUCAAACCCUGCCCUUGCGCCCCUUAGUCCCGCGGGGUAGGGAAAGGGGGGAGCGCUGAACUACAUCUCCCAUGACCACCGUGGCCCGUGGGGCCCUCGGCAGCGGCGAUGGCGGGGCCGGAAAGGGCCGCCUGCACAGCUGGCACCCCUCAAGCUCUGAGGUGAUUCAGCCGGGCUCCUUCCUGAGGGCGACGCAGGGUGACCCUUCACAUCGCCGCCAGCAUCUCCCCUGCGCCGCGCCCGGCGGCUAAAAAUACUCCCCACAGAUAGCAACGCCUGGCGAUUUGCUGUCUGCCCGAGCGGCCGCCACUGAUUGGCCAGCGGGACGAGGGGGCGGAUCCAGGCCGGGUUUUGGCGGAACGGAGCUCCUCCCAUGUGGCGCAUAAUCAGCUGUAACUGAGUUUACAACCCUUCUGAGUUGUGAUGAAUCGCAAUGGCUUGAGACCAUGGAACUGAGAGUACCAGCACAUGGAUAACCUUGACUGUGGAGCAGCUGGAUAUCUGGUGACAAGACACCUCUGGGUUUUAACAUGGGCCCAGUAAAAGCUAUUUUCAGCCUAAAUGAUCUUUGAUACUGAAACUAGAGUUAACCUGGAUGGUGAGCAGAGGAGAUCAUCUGCUCUGAGAAAGAAACCAAGGGAGAAGGAGGUGGGAGAAGAGUGGGAAGAUAACAAAGGAGAGGGACUCUAUAGGGAGAGGCAUUAAUUUGGAAACAUGCAGUGAUGGAAAAAGGAACACAAGAAAAACUGCUGUUGCAUCUCCCUAUCACUCCCUCUCAGGUCCCUGUCCGUGCUCAACUGCCAGCCACACUUGUCAUUUGUAAUUCUCAACCUUCUUAAAUAGAUGGGACUAAGAAGCAAAAACUGACUCAAAGCAGCUCCUCUCACCUUUGCUAUUGCCAAUUUUAGUAAUAUUUGGUCAGUUUGGGUUGGUUGUUAAUAAUGACUUGAUUCUAAUUUCACCAUGUGCAGCAGUAACUUGUUAACAAGCUGCUCCAGGAGAUCUUUGUAGAACUGUGGAUACCAGGGAGAGGGAAUAAUUACAGUGUUUCCACCUAUGAUAGUCUGCUUCAGAGCAGGUGUAAAUAUAUCCAUAAGUGUUUGUUCACUUAAAAGUUCAGCCCAGCUGCUUUCUCAAUUUCCAGCAGCAGAAUCAAUGGAUAGGGGUUUUUCCUUAAAAAAUUAGGGCAAAUAUUAUCUACUAAAUAUCACCUUCCCUUCCCAGUAGACUGCAAGUAAUAUUGUAAAAGUUACAGAAUUUUUACCAAAACCAGAUGUUUGGUGUAUAAAAGUACAGGCAGUUUUUCAAACCAUUCUAUUUGUUUGGAAAGGGAAGGACAAUUAGAUCAGAAAACUCAAUUCAACUUCAAAACAGAGGAACUUAAUAAGGAAAAAAACGACGGAAAUUACAUUUCAUUCUCUUGGUGCAUCCAAAAAGCUCUGGACUGGUGCAUGCAAAGAGUAAUUCCCUUUGGAGCAGCACCACAAGCUUUGAGAAAGCAGUUGCUAAAGUGUCUGAAAGCAUCCUGUUUCUUGUCCUCUGCUCUCUGAAGAGCAGAUGGAGCACAACACAAUGGGGUGGAAUGGGGGUCCUCAGAUUAUGGGGACACUGAUCUGUGAGCUGGGCAGUGGAACACUUGCAUCCAGUUUGAGCAUCCCAGAAGUAAGCUAUCUGACUCAAAGAAGGUUUGGAAACCUCUCCUCAGGGCUCAGCACACCUUGAUGCAGGAGUAAGAAGAGUCCAGUGUGGGUGGCCUGGACCUCUCUCCAGGAGCAACACUCCCACAGCUCCAUCUACUCCUGGCUGGAACCUAAAGCCCUGCCAGCAUCCAUUUUUCCCUGCACCAAAUCGUUUAAAUAAACUUCUCCAGUGUGGGCUCAAAGAAAUGCAUCAUUUGUGUGGCUCCUUGGGAGCUCAGCUAAUGGACUGCCUGGGAGGACUUGCUGGGCAAAUGUGCUGCCUCUGGCUUCCCACACUGAAACCUCACCUUGCACUCCAUAACAGCCCAUCAGUGCAAUACCCUGCUUCUGCCUGUUGUUCAAGAUGCAGGUACCACAUUUAACCAAACAAUAGCUAAAAAACAAAAGACAUCUUAAGUGACUUGUGGUGUCUGCUGAGCACCAGCUGCCUUUUUUGUGUUUUACUGUGUCUUUGAUCCCGAUGCUCCAUGCUCAGAUCUCCUGGGUCCCAUUCAGCUGCAAAAGCCCAAAGGUACAGUGAGAGGAGCAAUCUAAUCUGCUAGGGAAAUAAAACAGUUGAUGACUCAUAAAAGCAAAAGGGACAGAUAUUUGAAAAGGAAAAUAGCAAAACAGAUUCACAUGUAAUUGUGAGUCCUAUCACAGGAGUGCCUGGAGAAGUAGUGAGUUCUGCCGCAUUCUUCCACUCAAGCCCUCAGCUAGCUUCAGUGGAGCCAGGACUCAAAACCUGUAGUUCCAGGUAGCCUUAAUAAAGCUUGGAUCUGAAUUAAACUACUCUUCUGCAUGCCUGGGGAUAUGGUGGCAUGUGGCAGCCUUGGCUGCUUCAGGCUUCCCUGGAGCAUGUGAAGGAACAUGUUCAUGAGUGACAGCCCAAAGCAGUGGGACAGACCUGUGUGCAGCCACAGGAGCUGGGGCUCUGCUGGAGUCUGAGAUAGCCUGAGGGACAAGGAGCUGUUCACAGGUUUCCCAUGGGGAGCUGAUGCCAAAAUCAACUCUUUUGAAGGCAGCAACAACAGCACAAGACCCUGGGCAGCACAGGGAUGCAUGUGUGGCUCUAGGAGAGGAGGAUGGAAGGCUGAGCCCACUCACCUGAACACCCACCUUCCCUCCUGGAGGGGCAGCAGGUGUUGUCAGUGGCUGCUCUUCAGGGGAAAAAGAACCCCAGACUGGCUUAGACACCCCUGUGAUGCAGAGGGGUGGGCUAUCAUCCCUGAAACAAAUGGGACCCCCUCAUAGCCCAGCUGUAGCACUUGGGGCUGUCUCCUCUGUGCUCCCUUCUGUCCCCAAGGCAGUGUAACGAGGCCAGUGGAAAUCUGAAAAAGAGAGAUUUCCUUUACUCAAGGAUUCCUAUUCAGAGCUACAGCUAUUGACAUAUUUUUUUCUAUUCCUGUGCUUGGCAGAAGUUGAUAGUAUUUAUUAAGCUGAUCUCAGGCACCAGAUCUGGAUCCUGACUCUUGAUACAGAGGCAAUCAUCAGAGCCUGUUGUGUUUGCAUGAAUGUACUAAUCCUGCCUCUGCUUCCUGAAUGCAUAAAGCAGUGUAUAGGACCGCUCAUCUCUAAGAGACUUGGAGAUGGCUGCAGAGGGUAAGACAAUGUUUUUAAUAUGGAGAACUCCGAGGCAAAGUAUUUGGUACCUCAGGAUUAUUAACAUUUUUGAAAGUCUGAGAAGCCACUAACAUUUAGAAGACAUUACAAUCAAGAUUAAUUCUCCCAAAUGGAGAAAGAGCUCCUGUUUUUCACAUACACUCUAGAUAUUGAUAAUUUUCUCAUUUUCUGAUAUAACAGGGCUUGGGGGUUUUUUCCCCACUGAGACAAGAUGACUGACAGAUGGAGAUAGGAAUUUCUCAUAAAGAGAAGCAAUGCAUUUUUACACAGCUGAGGCUGGAAGAAAGCAAUAAUUCUCCUAAUACACAGGCACAGCCCUCCAGAAUGCCUGAUUAUUUACUUCAAGAAUCAGUCAUCGCUGACCAGAAUGCCAGGCAUGUCUUCCCCAGCCAAGAUGUGAGCUGAGAUCAGUGCAAACAAAUCCUCACCCCUCUGGCCACCUCCUGUGCUGCUGUUGGGUGGUGAAGGCUGGUCCUGGGUGGUGAGGCUAGCCUGGGAUACCCUGACCAUGGUGGGUCAGACCAGCAGAGAUUCACCAACACCUCUGUCAUGGUGAGUCCAAGCCACUGUCACAGAGGUGGCACUUGGUACAGGCUUAGUUCAGUUCCAGGGUCAUUCUUAGCAAGCACUGGGGUGCUCGGAGAGCCCAGGCAACUUGGGGCAGGAGUUAGAGCUGCCACUGCAGAACCCAUCUGGAAUCUGUCUUAAAAAAAGACAAUAAAAAACACCAAAACCUCCUCAAAACAACAACAAUAAUAAAAAGAAAAAUCAAAACAAACAAACAAACAAAACUCCCACCAACCCCCCCAGAAGAAAGCCAGAGAAACUGCCUCCAACUCUUGGGCCAGGACAAAGCCUUGGAGCAGCAGGAGAGCAGGAGUGCCCAUUCUCAGCGUCAGCACCACUUCUGUCCCCCUAGAGCAGCUAAGCAGCUUUGCUUCCUGCAGGGAUCCUCUGGAACUGUCUGGCUUUUGCCAUGCUAGACCACAUCUUGCAGGGUUGUAGCGACUGUACUGGUACACACAAGCCAAAAUUUACACCCCUUUACCUGCUUUCCUCCCAGCCUCCUCUUUCAGCUGUUUUCCCCUCUCACUAUCUGCAUAUUCUGUUCUUCACUACUGUUCCUAACAGCUUCUAUCUAUGCCAAGUCCCAUCCUACUUAGCUCUCAUUAAACCUCCAACCUUGAGCAGAGCUUUUCUGCAUUAGUCUCCCAGCCAGCUUUUGUCUCUUUGACUUCUAGGUUCUCUUUGUUUGUGCUUUUCUCUCUGGUUCUGGGAAUUAUUCUGCUUCAGUUGAUGCAUGGAUCCAGGCCCUGAUAUUUUGUUGAACUCUGUGGGAUCUCUUCUGUUUGGCGGGUGCAGUGGUGGUACUGCUCCCAGCAUCAGCAGCACCCACACUGUUGCAAAGGCCUUGAAAGGCUGAUGUGUAUUUCAGGCAGUAGGAAGCUUAUCCUGUGCUAGACAUUGGCUUGAGAGAGACAUUAUCCCUGGAAGAUACCAGCUCCAGAGAGACAUUUUCUAUGGCAUCCCUGCCCAGGAAUAGAUCCUGACUUCAUCUAACAGAGGAACUGAUUGUACGGGACUGUGCUGCUCACUGGAGAAUGACACAGCCAGAGCGAGUGGCAUGGGGUCACCACUUGCAUGUUUUGUCCUUCUGAUGCCACAGAUCAGUAUCUCAAUAAAAAGCUUUGGAUCUGAGCAGCCCCUGCCGGUAGCAAGUGCUCCCCCUGCAGCACGACAGGUGCUGAAAUAUAUAUGCCAAGUGGAUCUUUUAUUUGGAAAACAAAUGGUAUUGACUAUCUAUAAAUGUCGGCUUAAAGUGAGGCAAAACUAGCAGGAAAAAAUGCCACCAUAGGUGAGUGAAGGUGCUUAGUGAGGCGUAGGGCAGCCCUGAAUUAUAGGGCAGCAGUGAGCAAGUGACUUAGCCUUUUCUUUUUUUGCCUCCUACUCAUUUAGUCUGGAAACAUAUCAGCAGGCACUUUGUCCUGUUAAAUGGUGAUAAAACCCUGGACUCAAUAGCUGAGAUCUGCUGUCUGCCAUCAUAGCAAUACAAAUAACAAUAAAAGAAACAAAAUAGAGGUGAGUCAGUCUGAUGUUCACUAGGAAAAACAUCAGUUAUCUUUGUUACUCACCAGCUCUCCUCCAGGGUAGUCUGCUGGCCAACAUUGAGGCUGCAGUUGUAGUGGGGCUGUAUUUUGCUCAGGUCCUCUUAAAAAAGUUUUUCCCUGAGGUUUUGGAGAGUUGGUGGUUGCAUAUCCACAUCAACAGGACCAUGAGUAUAAGCAGCCUUUUUGCAGAGUAAAAGCCUUUUAGCAACUGAGCCCAGUGGAGGCACAAGGCUGAAGAAACAACACAGCAUGGAGAGGCCACUGCCUAUGGUAGGACAGAUAAUCCUUGAGGCCCAGGUCUUCAUCUGGGGGGAAAAAAAACAGAGGAGGGAGGCUGGAGGGGGGCCACCCUGUCCCUGAGGCUGGCUGAGGUCACCCAUAAGCUCCUGAGCCGUGGCUUUGUCAUGCCCCGCAGAGCAUCAUCACAACAGCCCUGAUGCAUCCAAAGCACAGACAAGUGGCCAACUCCAGCUGGAAGUUGAUUCCUGCUAUUGAGAUUUGUAUUUAUUAAUUUGUAGCCCACUUGCUUUCUUUUGUCACUAUUUUUCUCUGCAAGUGAAAAAUUUCCCCUGAAUCACUGCAUGUUAUUUCCACUUGGCAAAUAAAGGUCAAUGAAAUACCAGUAACUGCAUCAGAAAUACAGCUCCAUAUCUAUCCAGGAUUUUAUAUGGCAAGUUGUAGUGCAUUGCCUGUUCUUAGAAAAGGCUGUGAUUAAAAAAAACUAAAACUGUCAGAGGUCAAGAAAUUCAUAGUUAGAGCAGCAUAGCCUCUGCCCUUCACUCCUCACAUCUUGCCUGCAAGACAAGGAAUAAAAAACCUCCUGGAACUGGCACAAACAAAUGUGGGAUGAGAUUUCCUCCAACACACAAGAUUCUGCAGGACUGUGGUAUCUAAACAGCAUUUUUGUUUGCAAAUGUUGCCUGUAUCUGGAUAGUGGUUACUUGGAUAUUUAUACACUAUGUAAAUAAUAUAUAAAUACAUAAAUACCAUAGAAUCAUAGAGCAUCUUGAGCUGGAAAAGACCAUCGAGUCCUAUAAAUAUAUAUAGAACUUAGAAGCAACAUGAUGCUGUAAUUGACAUAUAUCUGUCUUCAAAGAGAUUUACACCAGAGUCACAAAGAGAAUUUGACAUACUUGCUGCAAAGAGGUUUUCAUGCUUCAAACAUGAAACCACCAGGACUGGCUGAAGGACGCUCUGUGCCCAGGGACUGGGGAGCUGAUACCAAUUUUAAUGCUGCAAACACCUUUUCAAGAUCCACUGGCAGAGCCUCACUCCCCGAGUUAAACACUUGGAAACACAGAAGAUGGCCCUGUCCAGCAGCCAUUGGGGCACGUGAAGUUUCAGGAAGGAAGGGAGUAGCUGCUUUGCUUUCUUCCAAGGGAAGGCCAGCAAUGAGAUGAGUGUCAGGAACUACCAUUUGGGGUGAGUCAGGAGAUUGGCAUGGGGUGGUUUGCAUUAAUACCAGCUUGAACACAUGCCAGAGAGGAUUUCCAAAAUUCACAGCCAGUUAUUUCUUGUCGCAGAGUUGAGAGAUCCUGUAGCCUGUUCUUCCACUCUAAGGCAUGUGAUCAAAAGCCUGUGGAAAUUAUUCUGAGAAGGUUUGUUUUGUAAAUAUGUAUUUAAAAUCACGAAUACAGAUUACUGAGUUUGAAGAGAAUAAAAGCCAAACCAAAAACUUCUAACAGAGCAAACCCUCUCACAGAGGAUCUUCUCCCUUCUUGGAGGUGGAUUAAAAAGUACUGUUAUGAAAUUCCAGUGCAGAUUUUAUGAUGGGCUAAACCAAAAUGCUUUGGAGUUUUUGGAAUUCAGAUCUGAAGCUGAGUGUUUCAGCCCGUAUGAUCCAUAUAAAAGUAAGACAAAUGAAAGAAUUUACUUUUUCUUCCUUUUGAUAUGCAGAGAUUCAGAUGAAAUGCUUACUUUCCAAUUUGCUUUUUCAGUAGAAAUUGACUAGAGAUCCUAUCAACAUGAAAUACCCCAUGAAACCCAAGGAACUCCUGAAAUGAUGGAUGACAUCAAGAGCCAAAAGAACACAUACAAAGCAUCUGCAGAAAGAGAUCCUUAAUCACUCUGUGAAGCCUGUUGAUUUGUUGCCAACUACUUAACUUAAAGCUUGUGUUGUCAUAUAUCUAACUUGAAAGUUUAAUGAACCAGUUGGAGAAAGGAAAUCUCUGUUAAAAAGAGAUUAUGUCCCUUCAGCUGCAGUGUGAGCAAUAACACACUUUGUUGGAUGCUCUCAGCAAGUCCCUCAUUAAAACAGUAGCACCAGAUGAGAUCUAAUUUUCCUAAUAUUUGUAGACUACAAUGCAAGAAGGAAAAUAUUUGAGGUUUUCUGUAUUCCUGAAGAAUAAGUUAAAAAAACAACAACAACAAAACAGUGAAAACUGCUCCCCAGGUUAUGUGCUAGACCUCUUUUAUUUACAAGUAUUUUACUACUGAAAUUGAAUAUCAGUGUUAUUUAAUUUUUUAAAAAUUGCCCACUAGAUGGCUGUAAUUGUUAUGGCCAUGCUUAAUUUUUGGUAUCAAAUUCCCAUCUUUAAAAAAAUCUGUUCUUCCUUUUUGUUGUUCUUCAGCACAUGCUCUCAAUCUCCAAGGCAGCAUUUGCAACAAUGGGAUCCUCACCUUGGAAAUUUCAGCUGUUUAUAGGAAGUUUAGUUGUUCAAAAUGGCCACUGCAAUGGGCUUGUAUAACAUCUAAGGCACAGAAAUCCACUGCCAUUUUGAAGGAUAAAGUGGGAAUUCAUUUUUCAUUAUUGAAAGAAAUACUUUAUUUUCUGCUAUUACAAGGAAUGAUCAAAGACUUGGAGCCCUUUGGAAAGCAUUUCCAAUGGCGUGGCAUUUAAUGCGAGCAGCUUGUGAUUACUGUUGGAGCACAAAACCAUUGUGAAUCUGAUGAAGGAGAGCCCAGAAGGCAGGAUUGAGCAUCUCCUGUGUCCUAGAUUCAGCAGAGGAGCUGAUGUGAAAAAGAAGCAGGAUCUGCUGGAAGGAAAGCUUAAAUUAUGUAUCACAGGAAAUAAAAUUUCCCUGCUGUUUGCACAGACUCUAGUCCAGGAGCAGCAGUUCAUCUGGGUAGAGGAUUUGCAAAGUGUUUGCUAGCUGUGGUUCCUCCUGCAGUUUUCCUGAAGAUCCACCCAAAGGGAAUAGGCUCAGGUGGAAGACUUUCCCCAUUCAGCCAGGGAGCAGGGCACCGAUGCUUCUUCUGAACAGAAGUGCCUGAAUAUAAAGAUCUACAUAUCUUUGGCAGCUCUUGACUGCAACAUAUGAAAAGGGAACUGCCUGUCUACAAGUUUUAAGCAGCAUGCAGAGACAUUUGUAGGACUUCUCCACCAAGCAUGAGCCAGUACAGAAUCAUCCAUUGCUGCAGACCCUUGGGCAUGGUGCGUGGUCCUGCCAGCAGCACAUAAAUCUGCCUUUAAUGGGAAUGACUUCAUUUCUAUUGAGGAGUUUUCCCACCAGUUCAGCACUGCACCAAAGGGGUUAUCAGGGGCCAUCAGGUUUCAUAAGACUUAAGUGCAACUUCAUUAAGUGUCUUUGAGAGAUGGUUUGCUCAUCUGGAGCAAGAACAGCUUGGUCAGGGAUGUGAGCCUGUGGCUCACCUAAAAAAACCCCUCAGCACAGCACUGAGCUCUGCGGAUCAUCUGGAAAGAGAAAAGAAAGAGAAGAGAAGAGAAAAGAGAAGAGAAGAGAAGAGAAGAGAAGAGAAGAGAAGAGAAGAGAAGAGAAGAGAAGAGAAGAGAAGAGAAGAGAAGAGAAGAGAAGAGAAGAGAAGAGAAGAGAAGAGAAGAGAAGAGAAGAGAAGAGAAGAGAAGAGAGAGAGCACCUCUGGCAAAGGAAGUGCUGUGAUAAGAUUUGAUUCAGAGAAAUUCAGGACUGCUGUAGUGCACUGGUUUAAUACCAGUCAAGUAGAUAAUUUCACUUAUUGCUCGCUCUUCCAAAAAUAUCACACCGAGGUGCGCAGAGGGCCCAGCUGCAGUCAGACUAGAGCAUCCCCCUACUCCAUCUGGAUUUCUUCCUAAUUCAGUAGAACUGAGCCCUCUUUCUAUGUAAACACAAGUAGAUUCAUGCCAGCACAUGAGUCCCAUAUGCUGUGGGUUUGUCAGCCAGAGGUUGGGCACGGUCCCUGCCCUUCCAGAUCAGCUCCAGGUAUUGUCCCACACAUACCUCGACUCAGCUGUCUUAUCAUGGUGGGUGUGGGGUCUGGUUUGCCUUCAGUCUUUUCCUGGUGCAUGCAAAUCCAGGCUACCUGGAUAUAUAAAUCAAGUUCAUUGUCAUGCUAGCUGAACACCUUAUAAAGGUAUGUUAUCAAGAAAGAAUAAUGAGAUUUCAAAUUCCCCUAAGUCGUAAAUAAAGACAAAGUGCUCAUGCAAAAUAUCCCUCAUUCUAAAUGGUCUUUACUUCUAAGUCUUCUCCAUACACAAAACAGGGUUAAGUCAACACUGAGACAAACGGAGGAAAAGAAUUAAGUACUCCUCAGGAAGAUGCACAUCUGUUUUCCCCACUUGACCUAUUCCCUUCAAAGACAUUCAUAUCAUCAUCCUGUGAAAAAAUCUGAAUAAGUCCCUGGAACUCAAGACAUUUCUUUGAGAUCCUCUGACUUGCUGAUUUUUCUGUCUUUUUUUGUCUACUGUGAAUCUUGCUGAACAGGUUGAACGAAAAUGAUCUUCUUGCAAACAUUCUGCAAAUAGAUCAAUGCCAUAUUCUGUAUCAAACACCCUACCUGGAGCCCAUUUAAUAAAUGGAUGUCUUUGCUAUGAAAUUACAAACCAGAACUUCAUGUGGCAUCAUACCCAUAUAGAUUUGAAAUCAUUCCACUCUCAGCAGAGUUUUCAGCAUUGUAAUAAGAGCAGUAUAAAUAGCCACAGUCUGUGAGCAUUGUAAAGAACAGGGAUUAAGGUCAGCAGCCACACUGCAGUCGUUGGCCUUUGAAGACUGUCUGGAGCAGACUACAGAAGGUGCAGGGUACCUGGGGCUCCCAUUCAACUGUAAUGGGGUUGUGGAUGCCUUGUAUUUCUUGAUAAUCACUCUGGAGGGAUUUGAACAAGAAACAUAUGUGUGGAAACCUGCAAGAUACUUUUGAAUAACAGAAGCUCUCUUGCAGAGAGGACAAGGCUGGUUCGAGACCACAGCACCUGCUCCUGCAUAGAGCAAAGUUCCCUCCUUGCUCCAUGUUGUCCCGGUAGAGCACAGCUUCCCACCAGCUCACCUACUUAAAGGAAACUCCACAGGAGUUUGCUGGGUAAACAACAAGUCAGCCCGGAGAUAUCAGCCCUGGAGAGAAAUAGAGGAAGAGCUGCAGUGGGCAGUCCUCACCUCAUGUGACUCACCCCAAGAAGGUGUUUGGGUAUUUAGUAUUUUUAAAGCUGACAGAGAGAGCAGGUUAAAUUAGGUACAAAGAAGAAAUUCUUCCAAGUGAGGCUUGUGAUGUCCUGGCAUGGAUUGCCCAGAGAAGUUGUGGCUGCUCCAUCCCUGAAUUAUCUGGGACCAGCGGAGAACAUGAUGACAAUGUUUAUGGACAUGUCCCUUACUAAUGAUGUCCAAAGGUGGCCUGAUUACUCACCCCUCUGCAGAUGAGCUCCAGGUAUUACACACUUGACAGGUGGUGCUCUGAGGAAGUCUGGAACCUGAUUUACUUGACUUCCACUGGAUCACUGAUGGGCUCUUGACACCUCAAGCAAUCAGGUUUCAGGUGUCCCAAAGCAUGUACCUCAAACUCAAGGUACUCAACUUGUGACACUUGCAGAAAGAUAACUCCUUAACCCAGCAGAACUUUGAGAUCUGAAGAAAAACAUCACACUCAUCUACUAUGCUGGGAACCAGCACUGAGUAAAAACCUGAGUAAAGAUGAGGAUGAGAGGAGACAAGUAUUUUAUUUUUAAACCUUAUGAAUUUCUGAGUAGUUCUGCUUUCCUAGAGAGGAAGGCAGGGUUGGGAAGAUCAGAUGUUCAAACUCUGCUCCCUCCCUGAUAACACACUAAAGACUUGUAUUACCUUUAAU
This is a long non-coding RNA of Motacilla alba alba, 11552 nucleotides long. RefSeq lists it as uncharacterized. The record is from RefSeq and is a predicted model, not a curated record. The transcript has 4 exons. NCBI's taxonomy places the organism in Eukaryota, Metazoa, Chordata, Aves, Passeriformes, Motacillidae.